GUCCUAGCUGUAAACGAUGGGUACUGGGUAUGGGUCGUCCCUAUGCGAUCCUUGCCGGAGCAAAUGUAUUAAGUACCCCGCCUGGGGAGUAUGGUCGCAAGGCUAAAACUCAAAGGAAUUGACGGGGGCUCACACAAGCGGUGGAGGAUGUGGUUUAAUUCGAAGCAACGCGCAGAACCUUACCUGGGUUUGAAAUGUACGGAUUAGGCUCCUGAAAGGGAGUUGACGCCGCAAGGUGGAACGUACACAGGUGUUGCAUGGCU
This 263-nucleotide ribosomal RNA is filed under the name uncultured bacterium. RNAcentral's name for it is "partial 16S ribosomal RNA". It matches the Rfam family "Bacterial small subunit ribosomal RNA", at positions 793 to 1050 of the family's 1533-position model. The record is from RNAcentral.